Molecule: transfer RNA, 82 nt
Filed under: Trichonephila clavata
Lineage: Eukaryota; Metazoa; Arthropoda; Arachnida; Araneae; Nephilidae
Description: tRNA-Ser
Rfam family: tRNA
About the family: Transfer RNA (tRNA) molecules are approximately 80 nucleotides in length.
Source: RNAcentral
GCAGCUGUGGCCGAGUUGUUAAGGCGAUGGACUCGAAAUCCUUGCGGUUUCCCGCGUAGGUUCAAAUCCUACUGCAGCGGUU